UGGCUUGCAUUUGGUGAAUCC
This 21-nucleotide non-coding RNA is filed under the name Arabidopsis thaliana (thale cress). The record is from RNAcentral. Lineage: Eukaryota; Viridiplantae; Streptophyta; Magnoliopsida; Brassicales; Brassicaceae.